Molecule: ribosomal RNA, 486 nt
Filed under: uncultured bacterium
Lineage: Bacteria
Description: bacterial SSU rRNA
Rfam family: Bacterial small subunit ribosomal RNA
Source: RNAcentral
CUACGUGCCAGCAGCCGCGGUAAUACGGAAGGUCCAGGCGUUAUCCGGAUUUAUUGGGUUUAAAGGGAGUGUAGGCGGUUUGUUAAGCGUGUUGUGAAAUUUAGGUGCUCAACAUUUAACUUGCAGCGCGAACUGGCGAACUUGAGUGCACACAACGUAUGCGGAAUUCAUGGUGUAGCGGUGAAAUGCUUAGAUAUCAUGAAGAACUCCGAUUGCGAAGGCAGCAUACGGGAGUGUAACUGACGCUUAAGCUCGAAGGUGCGGGUAUCGAACAGGAUUAGAUACCCUGGUAGUCCGCACAGUAAACGAUGGAUGCCCGCUGUUAGCGCCUGGCGUUAGCGGCUAAGCGAAAGCAUUAAGCAUCCCACCUGGGGAGUACGCCGGCAACGGUGAAACUCAAAGGAAUUGACGGGGGCCCGCACAAGCGGAGGAACAUGUGGUUUAAUUCGAUGAUACGCGAGGAACCUUACCCGGGCUUGAAUUGCC